GUCUUUUUGAGUUAUUUUUAAAGUCUGACCUGCCCACUGAAUUUUUUAAAUGGCCGCAGUAUUCUAACUGUGCAAAGGUAGCAUAAUCAUUAGUCUUUUAAUUGAAGGCUGGUAUGAACGGUUGGACGAAGUAUAAGCUGUUUCAUGUAAAUUUAUAGUAGAAUUUUAUAUUUUAGUUAAAAAGCUAAAAUGUAAUUAAAAGACGAGAAGACCCUAUAAAUCUUUAUAUUUUAUGUAAUUUAAAUUUUUUUGAUUUUUUUUAUUUUUAUUAUAUCAAAUAUUUUGUUGGGGUGAUAUUAAAAUUUGAUGAACUUUUAGUUGUUUUAAGUCAUUAAUUUAUGAAUUAUUGAUCCAUUAGUAGUGAUUAUAAGAUUAAGUUACUUUAGGGAUAACAGCGUAAUUUUUUUGGAGAGUUCUUAUCGAUAAAAAAGUUUGCGACCUCGAUGUUGGAUUAAGAUAUAGAUUUAGGUGUAGUCGCUUAAAUACUGAGUCUGUUCGACUUUUAAAUUCUU
RNAcentral lists this ribosomal RNA (512 nucleotides) under Dacus eclipsis. RNAcentral describes it as "partial 16S ribosomal RNA". The stretch from base 388 to 512 matches the Rfam family "Bacterial large subunit ribosomal RNA", at positions 2473 to 2597 of the family's 2925-position model. Lineage: Eukaryota; Metazoa; Arthropoda; Insecta; Diptera; Tephritidae. The record is from RNAcentral.